GAAAUGGAGCAAGUGUUCUCAGAAUUGUCCCAUAUGCUGCACUACAUUACAUGACCUAUGAGCGGUAUCGAGGAUGGAUAUUAGAAAAUUACUCUGCAUUAGGAACAGGACCUGUUGUAGAUCUUUUGGCUGGCUCAGCUUCUGGAGGAACUGCAGUUUUGUGUACAUAUCCCCUUGAUUUGGCUCGGACCAAACUGGCUUAUCAGGUCAAGGAGACAAGAGGAAAUGGCAGUAGAGCAACU
This 242-nucleotide unclassified non-coding RNA is filed under the name Hevea brasiliensis (rubber tree). The record is from RNAcentral. Lineage: Eukaryota; Viridiplantae; Streptophyta; Magnoliopsida; Malpighiales; Euphorbiaceae.